GACGCAGAGGAAGAAAUCCCAUUCAAACCAUAGUUUUGACAUGAUUUUUAAAAGUAAAAAUGGAUUUUUAUUUGUCGUUUCCUCUAGGAUUUGGACAUCAAUCCUGUGGUGAGGGACAUCAUGAUGAAUCGAACCUUCACCAUCAUCAGUCUUCACUUUGCCGACUUCCUGAGCCACGACUGGCUUUCCUGGUUCACGGUGAAACUGGUUCCUCUCCUCCCCAGCUUGACUGCAGAGAUGCUCCACACAGUAACAUCAAACACAGACUGCAACGCAUACCACGUCAUCGUUGUGGCUCUGAGCAGCGUCUUUGACCAGAUGACUUUCGCUGAGACAGCAGGAGCUCGCCCCAGUCCUGUUGGGCUACCUGAAGCAGAGACACGCCUCGGGUAGGUCCAGUGAAGGUGGUGCUUUUUUGUGUCGUGUGCCUAAGAGAAAAAGGCCUGUGGUGCCCUGGCUCUAUGAAUGUCUGCGUCUCCUAAUGAGUGUUUCCCGUGCAUCAUCGUUGCAGGCUCACCUUGUGGGUCCGACACAAGCAGCCUCAGUGCUUGGUUUGAGGAGAGCUUUGGCAAAUUCUCCAUCUAUGUGGAUUACAACGACCUCCGUGAGAUCAAUGCCGGCUUUCGACAGCGUAAGGAGCCCCGCCGCGCUAAACAAUUGCUCCCAUGACUGUGGAGGGCAACCAUGUCAUUUGUUAAAAAUGGUGUUGGUUUUCUCUUUUGCAGUUUGAGUCUUUGGACCUUCUGAGCGCUUCUCAAGUUGCUCAGCUGACACUACACUCUGGAGCGCUGAACAACGCACACCUGAUAGAAAUGGUCUUUGACCGUCUAGAGGGCGGCAACUCUUUCCAGGAUAUCGAAGAAUUAUUGGAGGCUCUCUCACCGGACCUCACAGGUGUGUCCUCAUCACUAAGAUGGCAAAUGUUCUGGGGACGCACAGGAAGAAAUCCCAUUCAAACCAUAGUUUUGACAUGAUUUUAAAAGUAAAAAUGGAUUUUUAUUUGUCGUUUCCUCUAGGAUUUGGACAUCAGUCCUGUGGUGAGGGACAUCAUGAUGAAUCGAACCUUCACCAUCAUCAGUCUUCACUUUUGCCGACUUCCUGAGCCACGACUGGCUUUCCUGGUUCACGGUGAAACUGGUUCCUCUCCUCCCCAGCUUGACUGCAGAGAUGCUCCACACAGUAACAUCAAACACAGACUGCAACGCAUACCACGUCAUGUACGUAGCUCUCCCCAAAUGCCAGACAGCACUGCAACACGUGUCUUAUAGCACUCUCUGAGAGAAGGAGAGGACAUUUCUACAGAAUGUUUAGUGAGUGUUGAGAAGCCGCGCUAAAGAGGCGUCAUCCUUACCUUUUCUUUUGAUCUGUCCACUAUAGCGUUGUGGCUCUGAGCAGCGUCUUUGACCAGAUGACUUCGCUGAGACAGCAGGAGCUCGCCCCAGUCCUGUUGGGCUACCUGAAGCAGAGACACGCCUCGGGUAGGUCCAGUGAAGGUGGUGCUUUUUUGUGUCGUGUGCCUAAGAGAAAAGGCCUGUGGUGCCCUGGCUCUAUGAAUGUCUGCGUCUCCUAAUGAGUGUUUCCCGUGCAUCAUCGUUGCAGGCUCACCUUGUGGGUCCGACACAAGCAGCCUCAGUGCUUGGUUUGAGGAGAGCUUUGGCAAAUUCUCCAUCUAUGUGGAUUACAACGACCUCCGUGAGAUCAAUGCCGGCUUUCGACAGCGUAAGGAGCCCCGCCGCGCUAAACAAUUUGCUCCCAUGACUGUGGAGGGCAACCAUGUCAUUUGUUAAAAUGGUGUUGUUUUCUCUUUUGCAGUUUGAGUCUUUGGACCUUCUGAGCGCUUCUCAAGUUGCUCAGCUGACACUACACUCUGGAGCGCUGAACAACGCACACCUGAUAGAAAUGGUCUUUGACCGUCUAGAGGGCGGCAACUCUUUCCAGGAUAUCGAAGAGUUCUUGGAGGCUCUCUCCCGGACCUCACAGGUGUGUCCUCAUCACUAAGAUGGCAAAUGUUCUGGGGGACGCUGAGGAAGAAAUCCCAUUCAAACCAUAGUUUUGACAUGAUUUUAAAAAGUAAAAAAAUGGAUUUUUUUAUUUGUCGUUUCCCUCUAGGAUUUGGACAUCAAUCCUGUGGUGAGGGACAUCAUGAUGAAUCGAACCUUCACCAUCAUCAGUCUUCACUUUUGCCGACUUCCUGAGCCACGACUGGCUUUCCUGGUUCACGGUGAAACUGGUUCCUCUCCUCCCCAGCUUGACUGCAGAGAUGCUCCACACAGUAACAUCAAACACAGACUGCAACGCAUACCACGUCAUGUACGUAGCUCUCCCCAAAUGCCAGACAGCACUGCAACACGUGUCUUAUAGCACUCUCUGAGAGAAGGAGAGGACAUUUCUACAGAAUGUUUAGUGAGUGUUGAGAAGCCGCGCUAAAGAGGCGUCAUCCUUACCUUUUCUUUUGAUCUGUCCACUAUAGCGUUGUGGCUCUGAGCAGCGUCUUUGACCAGAUGACUUUCGCUGAGACAGCAGGAGCUCGCCCCAGUCCUGUUGGGCUACCUGAAGCAGAGACACGCCUCGGGUAGGUCCAGUGAAGGUGGUGCUUUUUUUGUGUCGUGUGCCUAAGAGAAAAAGGCCUGUGGUGCCCUGGCUCUAUGAAUGUCUGCGUCUCCUAAUGAGUGUUUCCCGUGCAUCAUCGUUGCAGGCUCACCUUGUGGGUCCGACACAAGCAGCCUCAGUGCUUGGUUUGAGGAGAGCUUUGGCAAAUUCUCCAUCUAUGUGGAUUACAACGACCUCCGUGAGAUCAAUGCCGGCUUUCGACAGCGUAAGGAGCCCCGCCGCGCUAAACAAUUUGCUCCCAUGACUGUGGAGGGCAACCAUGUCAUUUGUUAAAAUGGUGUUGUUUUUCUCUUUUGCAGUUUGAGUCUUUGGACCUUCUGAGCGCUUCUCAAGUUGCUCAGCUGACACUACACUCUGGAGCGCUGAACAACGCACACCUGAUAGAAAUGGUCUUUGACCGUCUAGAGGGACGGCAACUCUUUCCAGGAUAUCGAAGAGUUCUUGGAGGCUCUCUCCCGGACCUCACAGGUGUGUCCUCAUCACUAAGAUGGCAAAUGUUCUGGGGGACGCACAGGAAGAAAUCCCAUUCAAACCAAAGAUUAGACAUGAUUUUAAAAAGUAAAAAAAUGGAUUUUUUUAUUUAUCGUUUCCUCUAGGAUUUGGACAUCAAUCCUGUGGUGAGGGACAUCAUGAUGAAUCGAACCUUCACCAUCAUCAGUCUUCACUUUUGCCGACUUCCUGAGCCACGACUGGGCUUUCCUGGUUCACGGUGAAACUGGUUCCUCUCCUCCCCAGCUUGACUGCAGAGAUGCUCCACACAGUAACAUCAAACACAGACUGCAACGCAUACCACGUCAUGUACGUAGCUCUCCCCAAAUGCCAGACAGCACUGCAACACGUGUCUUAUAGCACUCUCUGAGAGAAGGAGAGGACAUUUCUACAGAAUGUUUAUAGUGAGUGUUGAGAAGCCGCGCUAAAGAGGCGUCAUCCUUACCUUUUCUUUGUGAUCUGUCCACUAUAGCGUUGUGGCUCUGAGCAGCGUCUUUGACCAGAUGACUUUCGCUGAGACAGCAGGAGCUCGCCCCAGUCCUGUUGGGCUACCUGAAGCAGAGACACGCCUCGGGUAGGUCCAGUGAAGGUGGUGCUUUUUUGUGUCGUGUGCCUAAGAGAAAAGGCCUGUGGUGCCCUGGCUUUAUGAAUGUCUGCGUCUCCUAAUGAGUGUUUCCCGUGCAUCAUCGUUGCAGGCUCACCUUGUGGGUCCGACACAAGCAGCCUCAGUGCUUGGUUUGAGGAGAGCUUUGGCAAAUUCUCCAUCUAUGUGGAUUACAACGACCUCCGUGAGAUCAAUGCAGGCUUUCGGCAGCGUAAGGAGCCCCGCCGCGAUACACAAUUUGCUCCCAUGACUGUGGAGGGCCAACCAUGUCACUUUGUCUAAAAAUGGUGUUGUUUUUCUCUUUGCAGUUUGAGUCUUUGGACCUUCUGAGCGCUUCUCAGGUUGCUCAGCUGACACUACACUCUGGAGCGCUGAACAGCGCACACCUGAUAGACAUGGUCUUUGAC
This is a long non-coding RNA of Cyprinus carpio carpio, 4110 nucleotides long. The record is from Ensembl. NCBI's taxonomy places the organism in Eukaryota, Metazoa, Chordata, Actinopteri, Cypriniformes, Cyprinidae.